RNAcentral lists this ribosomal RNA (293 nucleotides) under uncultured bacterium. RNAcentral describes it as "partial 16S ribosomal RNA". It matches the Rfam family "Bacterial small subunit ribosomal RNA", at positions 333 to 618 of the family's 1533-position model. The record is from RNAcentral.
GUUUUCCUACGGGACGCAGCAGUGGGGAAUAUUGCGCAAUGGGCGAAAGCCUGACGCAGCGACGCCGCGUGAGGGAUGAAGGUCUUCGGAUCGUAAACCUCUGUCAGCCGGGCAGAACGGUCACUGUGCUAAUCAGCAGUGAAUUGACGGUACCUGCAAAGGAAGCACCGGCUAACUCCGUGCCAGCAGCCGCGGUAAUACGGAGGGUGCGAGCGUUAAUCGGAAUUACUGGGCGUCAAGCGCUCGUAGGCGGUCUGUCACGUCAAGGGUGCAAUCCCCGCGCUCAACGUGGG